AUGGAGGCCUGGAGGAAGACAACCAUGUGUUGCUUGAUUCUUUUCUGCCUUAUGGCUACAUGUAGUGAGGUUUCAUCUACCGAAAACAUGUGCUAUCACAACCAUUGGAAUAAAUGCCAUCCUGAUCAAAAUGGAAUGUGUCGAGAUAGUUGUGUGAAAGACGGAUGGGAUGAUGGACAAUGCCGGAACAGGUUUAAAAGACUAAAGGGUGCCAAGUGCGAAUGUUACCCUAAGACUUGUGAUCAUUAG
RNAcentral lists this ribosomal RNA (249 nucleotides) under Triticum aestivum (bread wheat). Its description in RNAcentral is "partial small subunit ribosomal RNA". The record is from RNAcentral. Lineage: Eukaryota; Viridiplantae; Streptophyta; Magnoliopsida; Poales; Poaceae.